GGAGGUAUAGCUCAGUGGUAGAGCCUGUGCUUAGCAUGCACGAGGUCUAGGGUUCGAUGCCCAGUACUUCCA
This is a transfer RNA of Loxodonta africana (African savanna elephant), 72 nucleotides long. It matches the Rfam family "tRNA". From Rfam's summary of the family: Transfer RNA (tRNA) molecules are approximately 80 nucleotides in length. The record is from Rfam. Lineage: Eukaryota; Metazoa; Chordata; Mammalia; Proboscidea; Elephantidae.